AUGUCGAAACCGCCACCGCCACCGCCGACGCCGCCCGCCUCCGAGGCCUCAUCUUCUGUUGCUGCGGCCGCUCCUCGCUCCCUUCCUCCAACGCUCCUCCUCCCUCCUUCAUCCAGCGGGAACCGAGGCGCGCGCGGCGCGGGGAGCAGGAAGGGCAAGGCGCCGGUUGGUUCAGCGGCCGGCGCGCAGGGAGGGGGACACCAGCACGACCCGCUAGUGGAGGCGGUGAGGUUGGUUGGGAGGGACGUGGACCCGGGGGUCGCCGGCGCUGACAUCCUGGAGCUGGCGAUGGCCAAGGGGCCCAUGUUCUCGUGGCUGAGGUACUGGCCGGAAGAGGGCUAUCCCGAGGAGGGCCGACCUUAUUGA
Molecule: ribosomal RNA, 366 nt
Filed under: Triticum aestivum (bread wheat)
Lineage: Eukaryota; Viridiplantae; Streptophyta; Magnoliopsida; Poales; Poaceae
Description: partial small subunit ribosomal RNA
Source: RNAcentral